RNAcentral lists this ribosomal RNA (860 nucleotides) under Gammaproteobacteria bacterium. Its description in RNAcentral is "partial 23S ribosomal RNA". It matches the Rfam family "Bacterial large subunit ribosomal RNA", at positions 1 to 865 of the family's 2925-position model. Lineage: Bacteria; Pseudomonadati; Pseudomonadota; Gammaproteobacteria. The record is from RNAcentral.
GUGGAUUCUCAAGCGUGAGGUAAGAGCAUUUGGUGGAUGCCUUGGCAUGUACAGGCGAAGAAGGACGUGGCACGCUGCGAUAAGCGUGGGGGAGUUGUGAGCAAACUUUGAUCCCACGAUGUCCGAAUGGGGAAACCCACCUUCACCAUUUCUUUCAUCAUCCUUUCGGGGAUGGCGAGAGAGGUGGAUAAGGUAUCACCAUAGUGAAUAUAUAGCUUUGGUGAAGCGAACCCGGGGAACUGAAACAUCUCAGUACCCGGAGGAAAAGAAAUCAACCGAGAUUCCCGUAGUAGUGGCGAGCGAACCGGGACCAGGCCAGUGCCUUGUCGUAAAUUAGCAGAACAUUCUGGAAAGUUUGACCAUAGUGGGUGACAGUCCCGUAUGCGAAAAUGAUCGACGAGGACUUGAGUAGGGCGGGACACGUGAAAUCCUGUCUGAACGUGGGGGGACCACCCUCCAAGCCUAAAUACUCGUACAUGACCGAUAGCGAACACAGUACCGUGAGGGAAAGGUGAAAAGCACCCCGAUUAGGGGAGUGAAACAGUACCUGAAACCGGAUGCUUACAAGCAGUUGGAGCCCCAUAGGGGGUGACAGCGUACCUCUUGCAUAAUGGGUCAGUGACUUAAUCUAGCAUGCAAGCUUAAGCCGUUAGGUGUAGGCGAAGCGAAAGCGAGUCUGAAUAGGGCGACUGAGUAUGUUGGAUUAGACCCGAACCCCGGCGAUCUAGGCAUGACCAGGUUGAAGGUGCAGUAACAUGCACUGGAGGACCGAACCGUUGAAUGUUGAAAAAUUCUCGGAUGAGUUGUGUUUAGGGGUGAAAGGCCAAUCAAGCCGGGAAAUAGCUGGUUCUCCGCGAAAU